Molecule: ribosomal RNA, 517 nt
Filed under: uncultured bacterium
Lineage: Bacteria
Description: bacterial SSU rRNA
Rfam family: Bacterial small subunit ribosomal RNA
Source: RNAcentral
AGGGUUCGAUUCUGGCUCAGGAUGAACGCUAGCGACAGGCUUAACACAUGCAAGUCGAGGGGCAGCAUAGAAGUAGCAAUACUUGGUGGCGACCGGCGCACGGGUGAGUAACGCGUAUGCAACCUACCUAUCAGAGGGGAAUAACCCGGCGAAAGUCGGACUAAUACCGCAUAAAACAGGGGCACCGCAUGGUGAUAUUUGUUAAAGAAAUUCGCUGAUAGAUGGGCAUGCGUUCCAUUAGGUAGUUGGUGAGGUAACGGCUCACCAAGCCGACGAUGGAUAGGGGAACUGAGAGGUUGGUCCCCCACACUGGUACUGAGACACGGACCAGACUCCUACGGGAGGCAGCAGUGAGGAAUAUUGGUCAAUGGGCGGGAGCCUGAACCAGCCAAGUCGCGUGAAGGAAGAAGGAUCUAUGGUUCGUAAACUUCUUUUGCAGGGGAAUAAAGUGCAGGACGUGUCCUGUUUUGUAUGUACCCUGAGAAUAAGGAUCGGCUAACUCCGUGCCAGCCGCAGC